CCUACGGGGGGCUGCAGUGGGGAAUAUUGGACAAUGGGGGCAACCCUGAUCCAGCCAUGCCGCGUGUGUGAAGAAGGCCCUCGGGUUGUAAAGCACUUUCAGUGAGGAAGAACGCCUGGUGGUUAAUACCCAUCAGGAAAGACAUCACUCACAGAAGAAGCACCGGCUAACUCCGUGCCAGCAGCCGCGGUAAUACGGAGGGUGCGAGCGUUAAUCGGAAUUACUGGGCGUAAAGCGGCGCGUAGGUGGCUUGAUAAGCCGGUUGUGAAAGCCCCGGGCUCAACCUGGGAACGGCAUCCGGAACUGUCAAGCUAGAGUGCAGGAGAGGAAGGUAGAAUUCCCGGUGUAGCGGUGAAAUGCGUAGAGAUCGGGAGGAAUACCAGUGGCGAAGGCGGCCUUCUGGACUGACACUGACACUGAGGUGCGAAAGCGUGGGUAGCAAACAGGAUUAGAUACCCUGGUAGUC
RNAcentral lists this ribosomal RNA (466 nucleotides) under Vreelandella stevensii. RNAcentral describes it as "partial 16S ribosomal RNA". It matches the Rfam family "Bacterial small subunit ribosomal RNA", at positions 338 to 795 of the family's 1533-position model. Lineage: Bacteria; Pseudomonadati; Pseudomonadota; Gammaproteobacteria; Oceanospirillales; Halomonadaceae. The record is from RNAcentral.